AUAAAAUACGAACAAUAAGCUCAUAUAAUCUUGAGGAUAUGGCUCAAGAGUCUCUACCAGGUUGCCGUAAACUACCUGACUAUGAGUGAAAGUGUACCUAGG
Molecule: non-coding RNA, 102 nt
Filed under: Caldanaerobius fijiensis
Lineage: Bacteria; Bacillati; Bacillota; Clostridia; Thermoanaerobacterales; Thermoanaerobacteraceae
Also listed under: 1 other name
Description: Guanine sequence
Rfam family: Purine riboswitch aptamer
About the family: Riboswitches are metabolite binding domains within certain messenger RNAs that serve as precision sensors for their corresponding targets. Allosteric rearrangement of mRNA structure is mediated by ligand binding, and this results in modulation of gene expression. A class of riboswitches that selectively recognises guanine and becomes saturated at concentrations as low as 5 nM.
Source: RNAcentral